Cryptotermes secundus is the source of this 112-nucleotide long non-coding RNA. RefSeq lists it as uncharacterized. Lineage: Eukaryota; Metazoa; Arthropoda; Insecta; Blattodea; Kalotermitidae. The transcript is spliced from 2 exons. The record is from RefSeq and is a predicted model, not a curated record.
GUGGGACCCUGAACUGUGCAGUCAAUUCACCUUUUCUGGCCUGUACGAUUGUGAUUGUCGGAGGCUUAUUACCUCCAGGAGUCAGCGGCAACUCCUUGACCGCCCGUGGAUC